AAUGAACGUUGGCGGCGUGGAUUAGGCAUGCAAGUCGCGCGAGAAAUGUAGCAAUACAUGGAAAGCGGCGAAAGGGAGAGUAAUACAUAGGUACGUACCCUUGGGACUGGGAUAGCGGCGGGAAACCGCCGGUAAUACCAGAUGACGUUUCCGAACCAAAGGUGUGAAUCCGCCUGAGGAGCGGCCUAUGUCCUAUUAGCUUGUUGGGGAGGUAACGGCUCACCAAGGCAAAGAUGGGUAUGGGGUGUGAGAGCAUGCCCCCACUCACUGGGACUGAGACACUGCCCCGACACCUACGGGUGGCUGCAGUCGAGAAUCUUCGGCAAUGGACGCAAGUCUGACCGAGCGACGCCGCGUGCGGGAUGAAGUCCUUCGGGUUGUAAACCGCUGUCGUAGGGGAGGAAAUUCUGGUGGGUACUCCCAUCAGAUUGACUGAUCCUAGGAGGAAGGACCGGCUAAUCUCGUGCCAGCCGCCGCCGUAA
This 482-nucleotide ribosomal RNA is filed under the name uncultured bacterium. RNAcentral describes it as "partial 16S ribosomal RNA". It matches the Rfam family "Bacterial small subunit ribosomal RNA", at positions 29 to 523 of the family's 1533-position model. The record is from RNAcentral.